GGCCUGAUGGUCUAGGAGUAUGAUUCGUUGUUAGGGUUUCGUCCAUAUUGACCAUAACUAUCGACGAGGUCCCGGGUUCAAUUCCCGGUCAGGCCC
Non-coding RNA from Rhodocollybia butyracea, 96 nucleotides. The record is from the annotation of a GenBank genome assembly. NCBI's taxonomy places the organism in Eukaryota, Fungi, Basidiomycota, Agaricomycetes, Agaricales, Omphalotaceae.